Molecule: ribosomal RNA, 425 nt
Filed under: uncultured bacterium
Lineage: Bacteria
Description: partial 16S ribosomal RNA
Rfam family: Bacterial small subunit ribosomal RNA
Source: RNAcentral
GUGGGGAAUCUUGCGCAAUGGGCGAAAGCCUGACGCAGCCAUGCCGCGUGGAUGAUGAAGGUCUUAGGAUUGUAAAAUCCUUUCACCGGUGAAGAUAAUGACUGUAGCCGGAGAAGAAGCCCCGGCUAACUUCGUGCCAGCAGCCGCGGUAAUACGAAGGGGGCUAGCGUUGCUCGGAUUUACUGGGCGUAAAGCGUGCGUAGGCGGUUUUGUAAGUUAGGAGUGAAAGCCCAGGGCUCAACCUUGGAAUUGCUCUUAAAACUGCAAGGCUCGAAUCUCGGAGAGGAUAGCGGAAUUUCCAGUGUAGCAGUGAAAUGCGUAGAUAUUGGAAGGAACACCAGUGGCGUAAGCGGCUAUCUGGACGAGUAUUGACGCUGAGGCACGAAAGCGUGGGGAUCAAACAGGAUUAGAUACCCUAGUAGUCC